Oncorhynchus keta (chum salmon) is the source of this 260-nucleotide long non-coding RNA. RefSeq lists it as uncharacterized. Lineage: Eukaryota; Metazoa; Chordata; Actinopteri; Salmoniformes; Salmonidae. The record is from RefSeq and is a predicted model, not a curated record. The transcript has 2 exons.
GUAGGGGCGGCAGGUAGCCUAGUGGUUAGAGCGUAGGGGCGGCAGGUAGCCUAGUGGUUAGAGCGUAGGGGCGGCAGGUAGCCUAGUGGUUAGAGCGUAGGGGCGGCAGGUAGCCUAGUGGUUAGAGCGUAGGGGCGGCAGGUAGCCUAGUGGUUAGAGCGUAGGGGCGGCAGGUAGCCUAGUGGUUAGAGUGUAGGGACGGCAGGUAGCCUAGUGGUUAGAGUGUAGGGGCGGCAGGUAGCCUAGUGGUUAGAGUGUAG